RNAcentral lists this ribosomal RNA (655 nucleotides) under Hyphoderma roseocremeum. Its description in RNAcentral is "eukaryotic LSU rRNA". The stretch from base 255 to 408 matches the Rfam family "5.8S ribosomal RNA". The record is from RNAcentral. Lineage: Eukaryota; Fungi; Basidiomycota; Agaricomycetes; Polyporales; Hyphodermataceae.
AAGUAAAAGUCGUAACAAGGUUUCCGUAGGUGAACCUGCGGAAGGAUCAUUAAUGAAUUUAAUUGACGGGGUUGUCGCUGGCCUUUCCAGGCAUGUGCACGCCUUGCUCAUAUUCAUCCCUUCUAUACCUCUGUGCACUUUUCAUAGGUUGGCUUAGUUUAAAAGGAUUGUCUUGUACGAUCUGGGCCUCUCUAUGCAUUUUAUACAAACAUCUAUGUCUUAGAAUGUCUUUAUUGCGUAACGCAUAUAAAUACAACUUUCAGCAACGGAUCUCUUGGCUCUCGCAUCGAUGAAGAACGCAGCGAAAUGCGAUAAGUAAUGUGAAUUGCAGAAUUCAGUGAAUCAUCGAAUCUUUGAACGCACCUUGCGCUCCUUGGUAUUCCGAGGAGCAUGCCUGUUUGAGUGUCAUGUUCUUCUCAGCUCCUCUCAGAUUUUUCUGUUGUUGGAGACUGGACUUGGAAGCUGCUGGAACGUCAGGUUCAGCUCUUCUUAAAUGCAUUAGUGUGAAUAUUUGUUGAAUGUUCUCCGGUGUGAUAAUUGUCUACGCUGUUUGAACUUUAGCAGAGAUUAUAUAUUCAUGCUUCAAACCGUCUUCGGACAACUUUUUGCAUUUGACCUCAAAUCAGGUAGGACUACCCGCUGAACUUAAGCAUAU